UACAGAGGGGGCAAGCGUUGUUCGGAAUUACUGGGCGUAAAGGGCGCGUAGGCGGCCUUCUAAGUCGAACGUGAAAUCCCUGGGCUCAACCCAGGAACUGCGUCCGAUACUGGAAGGCUUGAAUCCGGGAGAGGGAUGCGGAAUUCCAGGUGUAGCGGUGAAAUGCGUAGAUAUCUGGAGGAACACCGGUGGCGAAGGCGCCCACCUGGCCUGCUACUGACGCUGAAGCUCGAAAGCUAGGGGAGCAAACGGG
RNAcentral lists this ribosomal RNA (253 nucleotides) under uncultured bacterium. RNAcentral's name for it is "partial 16S ribosomal RNA". It matches the Rfam family "Bacterial small subunit ribosomal RNA", at positions 524 to 776 of the family's 1533-position model. The record is from RNAcentral.